RNAcentral lists this ribosomal RNA (360 nucleotides) under Triticum aestivum (bread wheat). RNAcentral describes it as "partial small subunit ribosomal RNA". Lineage: Eukaryota; Viridiplantae; Streptophyta; Magnoliopsida; Poales; Poaceae. The record is from RNAcentral.
AUGGCUUGCAUCCUCCUCUGCUUCCGCAUGUUGACUGCCUUGGUCGUUGGCGCUGCUUUUCUUGAGUCGGCUUCUCAUUGUGAUGUUGCUCAUACCAAAUGGAACCUUGCGAUGGUAGAGGAGAUUGCUGCUCUUGAGCGCAUUGGCACGUUGGAUAUUAUUUAUGUUCCUCCUCGUGUUCGUCUCAUCACCUGGUGGGUCUACAAGAUUAAGACUCGCUAUGAUGGUUCUCUUGAGGGUUACAAAGUUCGUAAUGUGGCUCGUGGCUUUCAGCAGAAGCAUGGUGCUGAUUACGAUGAGACUUUUUGCUCCUGCAAACCAUAUGAUCUCUGUUCGCCACUAGUUUGCGUCCCGAAUUGA